This 215-nucleotide long non-coding RNA is filed under the name Elaeis guineensis (African oil palm). Its description in RNAcentral is "long non-coding RNA (EGUI_LNC012354)". The record is from RNAcentral. Lineage: Eukaryota; Viridiplantae; Streptophyta; Magnoliopsida; Arecales; Arecaceae.
UACAGUUCGAAAAGCGUCAAAGUCAGUCGAGAUGGAUCUCAACCCUAAAGAACCAAGGCGAAGGAUUAUUUCCUCCUUAUAAACCGAUGUGGGACUAUUGGUGCUCUCCAAAUUAUUAGAACCACAACAUAACCUCACAGUCAAGGGAGACUUUAAUGUGUACAGUCCGAGGAGCCCCACAGUUAGCCAAAGUAGACCUCAGCUUUAGAGAACCG